RNAcentral lists this unclassified non-coding RNA (237 nucleotides) under Melitaea cinxia (Glanville fritillary). RNAcentral describes it as "misc RNA ENSMCXG00005013914.1". The record is from RNAcentral. Lineage: Eukaryota; Metazoa; Arthropoda; Insecta; Lepidoptera; Nymphalidae.
GGCACACCUAUCCAAGGAAAAAGAGUUGUACCCCUUGAAGAAAACGAAUCAGAUAGGAAUAUGGAGUCAGUGCAGUCCGAGGAGAGAUCUGGUCACUCUGAGCAUGGGACCGAUGUAAAUGAAGAUACUGCUCGAGUAUUAGGAACGAACGCGCCACUCCAGGCAAAUAAAAGGAAAGCUUCGUACUCUGCAGUCCAAGUACGCCAAGCUCUGGCUCUACACGCACAUCGAAACGCG